Molecule: ribosomal RNA, 484 nt
Filed under: uncultured bacterium
Lineage: Bacteria
Description: partial 16S ribosomal RNA
Rfam family: Bacterial small subunit ribosomal RNA
Source: RNAcentral
AUUGAACGCUGGCGGCAGGCCUAACACAUGCAAGUCGAGCGGAUGAAGGGAGCUUGCUCCUGGAUUCAGCGGCGGACGGGUGAGUAAUGCCUAGGAAUCUGCCUGGUAGUGGGGGAUAACGUCCGGAAACGGGCGCUAAUACCGCAUACGUCCUGAGGGAGAAAGUGGGGGAUCUUCGGACCUCACGCUAUCAGAUGAGCCUAGGUCGGAUUAGCUAGUUGGUGGGGUAAAGGCCUACCAAGGCGACGAUCCGUAACUGGUCUGAGAGGAUGAUCAGUCACACUGGAACUGAGACACGGUCCAGACUCCUACGGGAGGCAGCAGUGGGGAAUAUUGGACAAUGGGCGAAAGCCUGAUCCAGCCCUGCCGCGUGUGCGAAGAAGGUCUUCGGAUUGUAAAGCACUUUAAGUUGGGAGGAAGGGCAGUAAGUUAAUACCUUGCUGUUUUGACGUUACCAACAGAAUAAGCACCGGCUAACUUCGUG